Long non-coding RNA from Nymphaea colorata (pocket water lily), 1581 nucleotides. RefSeq lists it as uncharacterized. The transcript has 5 exons. The record is from RefSeq and is a predicted model, not a curated record. NCBI's taxonomy places the organism in Eukaryota, Viridiplantae, Streptophyta, Magnoliopsida, Nymphaeales, Nymphaeaceae.
CACAAAAGAACCUCCAUGGUGUCCAUUCCCUGCACGCGUGAAGAAGAAAGGUUCCAGUAGCUGUUCUUUGGCUUGAUGUUGUCGCCAUCGGCGACCAUUUGCUGUGAUAUUGCUUAGCCAGUAUCUCCGGUGUGUUGUCGUUCCAACGGACCCAAGCUCGAUUGGAACCGAGGUCUAAGCCGUCCGGAAUCAACCAAACACCAGUGGUCGUUCUGUUGUCCCCAUGAUGCCCUUCUCCUGUUCUGCAGACCUCUGCCGCCAUUGUUCAUCUGCACGGCGUUGUUACCACUGGUGACCAUUUGCCAAGAAAUUGCUCAGGUCACAUCCCUAGGGUGUUGCAUUUCCAACCGACCCGAGCUUGACCGGAGUGGUGGUCGGUGUCGGCCAGAAUCACGAGAUUCACGUUCGCCUAUCAGCUGUUCUUGAGGUGCCCUUCCCUUGUUCUGCAGACCUCUGCCACUGUUGUUCAUCUGCACGACGUUGUUACCACCAGCGACCAUUCGCUGAGAAAUUGCUCAGGUCACAUCCCCGGGGUGUUGCACUUCCAACCGACCCAAGCUCGACUGGAGUAGUGGUCGGCGUCGGCCGAAAUCACGAGACUCCCGUCCACCUAUCUGCUGUUCUUGAGGCACCCUUCGCUUGUUCUGCAGACCUCUGCCGCCAUUGUUCAUCUGCACAGCAUUGUUACCACCAGCGACCGUUUGCCGAGAAAUUGCUCAGGUCACAUACCCGGGUGUUGCGCUUCCAACUGACCCGAGCUCGACCGGAGUGGUGGUCAGUGUUGGCCGGAAUCAUGAGAUUCUUGUUCGCCUAUCUGAAAUUAUACUACUCCUCAUAAGGAGGUUCCAGACUUGCAGCUGCAUUGAAGUUGUACCAAUAGCGAAGGACGGAUAAAUGGUAGCUUAUAAUAAGCCACACACGUACAUAAACAUAAGUGGUUGCAUAUUUCAUUUGAAUCUUGAACCAUUUGAGCCUCCAGGAAGUUAUCUCUCGGCUACUGCUGCAGUUGUUAGUGGUGCCAGGCGAAGCGUCGUUGGCACCAUGGAGGGAGGUGACAGCUGCCUUCACAUUGCAAUGUACAAUGAACCUAAAAUGAUCAGAUGCAUUCUGUGAAGCCUUAAACUCUCCAGCUCCCAUGCUUCAACGCAUCUCUAACAUCACACUCCUGGCGAGCAUCUCUCAGCUUAGGCGAUCUUUGACAUAUUCGGCUCAGGUGAACUCCCUCCUUCCCUCUCUCUCUCUCUCGAUUGCUGGCUUCUUAAUAAGCUUUUGGCAUACUAGUGUUCGUCUGAUUUGGCGUUUUUAUGCACAUUGCACGUUUUUUUCCUCUGUUUCCCUACUUUUCUGCACAUUACUGCAGAAAUUCCUUCAAAUUGCAGGGUGAUCAUGGAUUAUGGUUUUCGGUGUUCGUUUCUUUUUUCCCCAAUAGCAGAAUACAUUCAGGCUCCUACUAUAUAGUAUGUGUUCAGGAAUUUUUUGUAUUUCUAUUCUGUGUUGCUCAAAUUCUUUCUUGCAGAAGCUUGUAACUUUCUUUUUCACUUUUCAACUGUUUUUUGUCUAAUUCAAGCAACUAGAUGUAAA